This 207-nucleotide ribosomal RNA is filed under the name uncultured bacterium. RNAcentral's name for it is "partial 16S ribosomal RNA". It matches the Rfam family "Bacterial small subunit ribosomal RNA", at positions 568 to 774 of the family's 1533-position model. The record is from RNAcentral.
UGCGUAGGUGGUAUGGCAAGUCAGAAGUGAAAACCCAGGGCUUAACUCUGGGACUGCUUUUGAAACUGUCAGACUGGAGUGCAGGAGAGGUAAGCGGAAUUCCUAGUGUAGCGGUGAAAUGCGUAGAUAUCGGGAGGAACACCAGUGGCGAAGGCGGCCUACUGGGCACCAACUGACGCUGAGGCUCGAAAGUGUGGGUAGCAAACA